UGCCUUAUGGUGUAAUGGUAGCACUCCGGAUUCUGGUUCCGUCUGUGUGGGUUCGAGUCCUACUAAGGCAA
This 71-nucleotide transfer RNA is filed under the name Bacteroidales bacterium. RNAcentral's name for it is "tRNA-Gln". It matches the Rfam family "tRNA". From Rfam's summary of the family: Transfer RNA (tRNA) molecules are approximately 80 nucleotides in length. RNAcentral also lists the same sequence under 1 other name. The record is from RNAcentral. Lineage: Bacteria; Pseudomonadati; Bacteroidota; Bacteroidia; Bacteroidales.